RNAcentral lists this transfer RNA (58 nucleotides) under Victivallis vadensis. It matches the Rfam family "tRNA", at positions 16 to 71 of the family's 71-position model. Rfam says of the family: Transfer RNA (tRNA) molecules are approximately 80 nucleotides in length. Their secondary structure includes four short double-helical elements and three loops (D, anti-codon, and T loops). The record is from Rfam by way of RNAcentral. Lineage: Bacteria; Pseudomonadati; Lentisphaerota; Lentisphaeria; Victivallales; Victivallaceae.
UGCGGGAUUGUUCAGGCUCAUAACCUGAAGGCCAAUGGUUCGAUUCCAUUCCCCGCUA